This 451-nucleotide ribosomal RNA is filed under the name Heterosigma akashiwo. Its description in RNAcentral is "partial Bacterial small subunit ribosomal RNA". It matches the Rfam family "Bacterial small subunit ribosomal RNA", at positions 1038 to 1511 of the family's 1533-position model. The record is from RNAcentral. Lineage: Eukaryota; Raphidophyceae; Chattonellales; Chattonellaceae.
GUGCUGCAUGGCUGUCGUCAGCUCGUGCCGUGAGGUGUUGGGUUAAGUCCCGCAACGAGCGCAACCCUCGCCUUUAGUUGCCAGCAUUCAGUUGGGCACUCUAAAGGGACUGCCGGUGAUAAGCCGAGAGGAAGGUGGGGAUGACGUCAAGUCCUCAUGGCCCUUACGGGCUGGGCUACACACGUGCUACAAUGGCAGUGACAAUGGGUGAAUCCCUAAAAGCUGUCUCAGUUCGGAUUGUCCUCUGCAACUCGAGGGCAUGAAGUUGGAAUCGCUAGUAAUCGUGGAACAGCAUGCCACGGUGAAUACGUUCCCAGGCCUUGUACACACCGCCCGUCACACCAUGGAAGCUGGUCACACCCAAAGUCGUUAUUCUAACCGUUUGGAGGAAGGCGCCUAAGGUAGGAUUGGUGACUGGGGUGAAGUCGUAACAAGGUAGCCGUACCGGAAG